AUGCAGGACUUGGCAAACCGAGUUCAGCCCCCACGUUCCUCCCUGCCUCUGGGGGACCUUGGGGGAGUCCCUUCCUUCCAAAGUCAGAUUGCCCAAAUGCAAAAGAUGCCAAUACCCGAUUCCCACCCUACUGUUUCUGGCGCACCCCGAGGCGUGUCACUGCUUCGCAAACUAGGUCUGUGCAAGUGUUGGCAUUUUUAUACUGCAACCAUCUCCCACAACGUGCCUGCCCACCUUCUCCAGUCCGAAUCCGGCCGCACCGCCUCCCAGCUUCCCCAGCUCCCUCCGCAUCCUCGGCGUAGACGCGCUCGCUCCCAGUCUGCGAGACACGGAAGCCGCGUUCCCGAGGUGGGCCGCACGCUCCGUGCCUACGUUCCCGCGCCGAGCCCGCGCCAAGAGCGGGGGGAGGCUCCACGAAGUAAAUGCCGUUCAGUCUUUCGGUCACUUCAAACGCACCUGCCUUCUUGUCAAGGGAAGGACGAGAGAGAGAACACGCUCGGGUCUGCUUAGCUUCCCAUCCUGCUGUGGAGACACAGGACGUUCCAGUAGGAAAGUCAGGCAGAGUGGAAGGGAAGGUGAGUUGUUUAUACCACCCUGCCUGCCUGCUUGGUGACGGAACAGCGUGUCCUGCCUGGUUCUCAGCCGGAAAGGAAAGCCAUCUCCACGACGAGUUAGAGUGGCCUGAGGAUGUCCACUGCAUCUGGAGCGGGCGAGUGCCCCCACCUGGCAGGGCAGUGGCCUCUUCUCCCACAGAGCCGUGGCUCAUGGUGACUCGGGGCCUCAGAAUCCCUCCAUGCUCCUGAAAAUUGCUGAGAGAGUUUGGUUUCUGUGGAUUAUGUCUGUUGAUCUGCACCAGCACAGAAAUCAGCGCCGAGAUCUUAAAUUAUUAAGGGAAACAGUGCUCCCUUUACGUGUACAUAUGUGUACAUACAUAAUAUAGUCCUAAUAAAAGUGCAUUUUCUAAAGAUGGAACCUCAGCCACGUCUUGUGUUCUCUGCCGAUCUCUUUAAUAUCCAGCUCCAAAGCAGACAGACCCUCACACCCGCGCCUGCGUUCAGGCUUCUGUGAUGUUUCGCGUCAGGGAGGCUGCGGGAACCCCCACUGAACCUGCCCCCCCCCCCCCAAGAAGAC
Molecule: long non-coding RNA, 1131 nt
Filed under: Mustela putorius furo (domestic ferret)
Lineage: Eukaryota; Metazoa; Chordata; Mammalia; Carnivora; Mustelidae
Description: lncRNA (ENSMPUG00000026713.1)
Source: RNAcentral